Mycena leptocephala is the source of this 96-nucleotide non-coding RNA. Lineage: Eukaryota; Fungi; Basidiomycota; Agaricomycetes; Agaricales; Mycenaceae. The record is from the annotation of a GenBank genome assembly.
UCGGAUGUGGUGCAUGGUGCACACCCGCUUGUGAUACGAGAAUACUAUCCAAGGGCAAUAAUGCGGGAAACCCGGGUUCAACUCCCGGUGUCCGAA